Molecule: ribosomal RNA, 409 nt
Filed under: bacterium
Lineage: Bacteria
Description: partial 16S ribosomal RNA
Rfam family: Bacterial small subunit ribosomal RNA
Source: RNAcentral
UGGGGAAUAUUGCACAAUGGGCGAAAGCCUGAUGCAGCGACGCCGCGUGAGGGAUGACGGCCUUCGGGUUGUAAACCUCUUUCAGCAGGGACGAAGCGCAAGUGACGGUACCUGCAGAAGAAGCACCGGCUAACUACGUGCCAGCAGCCGCGGUAAUACGUAGGGUGCAAGCGUUGUCCGGAAUUACUGGACGUAAAGAGUUCGUAGGCGGUUUGUCGCGUCGUUUGUGAAAACCAGCAGCUCAACUGCUGGCUUGCAGGCGAUACGGGCAGACUUGAGUACUGCAGGGGAGACUGGAAUUCCUGGUGUAGCGGUGAAAUGCGCAGAUAUCAGGAGGAACACCGGUGGCGAAGGCGGGUCUCUGGGCAGUAACUGACGCUGAGGAACGAAAGCGUGGGUAGCGAACAGG